Molecule: ribosomal RNA, 752 nt
Filed under: uncultured bacterium
Lineage: Bacteria
Description: bacterial SSU rRNA
Rfam family: Bacterial small subunit ribosomal RNA
Source: RNAcentral
GUGCCAGCCGCCGCGGUAAUACGUAGGGUGCGAGCGUUAAUCGGAAUUACUGGGCGUAAAGCGUGCGCAGCGGAUUGUUAACAAGACGUGAAAUCCCGGGCUUACCUGGGAAUGGCGUUUUGAACUGGCAGUCUAGAGUGUGUCAGAGGGGGGUAGAAUUCCACGUGUAGCAGUGAAAUGCGUAGAGAUGUGGAGGAAUACCAAUGGCGAAGGCAGCCCCCUGGGAUAACACUGACGCUCAUGUACGAAAGCGUGGGUAGCAAACAGGAUUAGAUACCCUGGUAGUCCACGCCCUAAACGAUGUCAACUGGUUGUUGGGGGAGUGAAAUCCCUUAGUAACGAAGCUAACGCGUGAAGUUGACCGCCUGGGGAGUACGGUCGCAAGAUUAAAACUCAAAGGAAUUGACGGGGACCCGCACAAGCGGUGGAUGAUGUGGAUUAAUUCGAUGCAACGCGAAAAACCUUACCUACCCUUGACAUGUCCAGAAUCCUGCAGAGAUGCGGGAGUGCCCGAAAGGGAAUUGGAACACAGGUGCUGCAUGGCUGUCGUCAGCUCGUGUCGUGAGAUGUUGGGUUAAGUCCCGCAACGAGCGCAACCCUUAUCAUUAGUUGCUACGCAAGGGCACUCUAAUGAGACUGCCGGUGACAAACCGGAGGAAGGUGGGGAUGACGUCAAGUCCCUCAUUGGCCCUUAUGGGUAGGGCUUCACACGGUCAUACAAUGGUCGGUACAGAGGGUUGCCAAGCCGCGAG